RNAcentral lists this ribosomal RNA (466 nucleotides) under uncultured bacterium. RNAcentral's name for it is "partial 16S ribosomal RNA". It matches the Rfam family "Bacterial small subunit ribosomal RNA", at positions 339 to 795 of the family's 1533-position model. The record is from RNAcentral.
CUACGGGACGCUCCAGUCGAGAAUCGUCUACAAUGGAAGAAAUUCUGAUAGUGCGACGCCGCGUGGAUGAAGAAGCCUUUCGGGGUGUAAAAUCCUUUUUUAUGUGAGCAAAGUUUGUAAGGUAAAUAGCUUUAUGAAUUAGAUAUUAGCGUAAGAAUAAGCUCCGGCUAACUCCGUGCCAGCAGCCGCGGUAAUACGGGGGGAGCAAGCGUUGUCCGGAAUCACUAGGCGUAAAGGGCAAGUAGGCGGACUUGUAAGUCAGGUGUCAAAGGCGUCGGCUCAACCGGCGUAUGGCAUUUGAUACUGUAAGUCUAGAGUAAGGCGGAUGAAGACGGAAUUCCUGGUGUAGCGGUGGAAUGCGCAGAUAUCAGGAAGAACAUCAGUGGCGAAGGCGGUCUUCAACACCAUUACUGACGCUCAAUUGCGAAGGUGUGGGUAUCGAACAGGAUUAGAUACCCUAGUAGUC